This 246-nucleotide long non-coding RNA is filed under the name Panax ginseng (ginseng). RNAcentral describes it as "long non-coding RNA (PGIN_LNC014680)". The record is from RNAcentral. Lineage: Eukaryota; Viridiplantae; Streptophyta; Magnoliopsida; Apiales; Araliaceae.
ACCAUCAUUAUGGGAGCGGGUCCUGCCUUUUUCAUGUUGGUCUCGACAGUUCUUAACAUGCUCAACAACUCAGUAAGGGGUUUCUCAAUUUCAUUCAUAAGAUAGUUCAUAACAAAUUGAGAGUAGCUGCUGUUCAAAGAUUGCAAAACAAGGUCAGUUUGGGCUUCCGGAGUGAUUGGAAAACCCAAUCUAUCAAGGUACUCAAUAAACCCAAUCAUUUUCAGCACAUGUGGACCAACUGGAUCA